CGUUACGCGCGACUAGAAUUAUGGUCCACUAGUUUAUUCGUAAAUGUGAGUAACGACACCGGGACAUUUUAAUUGAUAUUAGAACGAGAAGGAGAGGUGCAGUGUGCACGCACAAGGAAACAAAUGACGGGAGGGGGGAGAAAAGGAGAAGGAGUGUAUGUAUUUGCACCGCGGAAUAAAACAGGUUCGAUUAUACCAGC
Molecule: long non-coding RNA, 200 nt
Filed under: Carica papaya (papaya)
Lineage: Eukaryota; Viridiplantae; Streptophyta; Magnoliopsida; Brassicales; Caricaceae
Description: long non-coding RNA (CPAP_LNC015415)
Source: RNAcentral